Molecule: long non-coding RNA, 211 nt
Filed under: Elaeis guineensis (African oil palm)
Lineage: Eukaryota; Viridiplantae; Streptophyta; Magnoliopsida; Arecales; Arecaceae
Description: long non-coding RNA (EGUI_LNC066991)
Source: RNAcentral
CAUAAAGAUGUGUUCUUCCAAAGGACAUAGCUUUUGGAUGAUAUCCUUUGAAUUACUGUAUAAUCUGAUACAGAAAUAUGAGAGGUAUCUAUUCUUUCUGAGUUUUGUAUUUUCAUCGUAUUAUUUUGCAUACCAACGGUUCUAAUUGUUUAUCUUUCUUUAAGUAUGUAGACUUAGAGGAAGAAGAUUAGAGUUGGACAGUGUAUCCUGG